Molecule: ribosomal RNA, 2753 nt
Filed under: Triticum aestivum (bread wheat)
Lineage: Eukaryota; Viridiplantae; Streptophyta; Magnoliopsida; Poales; Poaceae
Description: partial small subunit ribosomal RNA
Source: RNAcentral
CACCCAUCUCAAGCCGUUUCCAAUAAAAACGCGCUACCUCCAUGUCCCCGCACCACACCACCUCCAUCUCCAUGGACACCUCCACCCUUGCCGCCGUCGCUUCCUUCGUCGCCUUCUCCACGAAGCCCCGCCUCCUCCCGCCACUCAACCCCUCUCGCACCCUUCCACGCACCCGCGGCUCCCUUGCCGUCUGUUGCUCUCACUCCCACGCCUCUCCUCCGCCCUCGCCCCUCCCGUGCACUGCGUCCGAUGAGGAGGAGGUCGCUCCUCCGCGCCUCCGCCUCCGCCUACUCGCCGAGGAGUUCGGCGCUCUUCCGGACGCCGACCGCGCGCGCCGCCUGCUCGCGUACGCGGCCGCGCUCCCGCGGCUGCCCCAGGCGGACCGCGUCGCGGCCAACCGCGUCAUGGGGUGCGUCGCGCAGGUCUGGCUCCUGGGCAGCUGCGACCGCUCGGGACGCAUGCGGUUCGCGGCCGACUCCGACUCCGAGCUCUCGCGCGGGUACUGUUCCUGCCUCGUCUCCGCGCUCGACGGCGCGGGCCCCGAGGAGGUGCUCGACGUGGACCCCGCCGAUCUCGCGCCGCUCGGUGUGGCCGCGGGGGCGCGGUCCCGGGUCAAUACGUGGCACAACGUGCUCGUCGGCAUGCAGAAGCGGGCGCGGGCAGCCAUUGCGGCGCGCGAGGGCAGGCGUCCUGGGGAGCCGUUCCCGUCGCUCGUGAUCGGCCGGGACGGCGCCGUCCGCGCGCAAGGAAGCUACGCCGAGGCCAAGGCGAAGUUUUUAUCUCCUGACCAGUCCAAGAUUUCCGAGCUUGUGAAUGCCCUCAGAGAGAAACAAAUUGGAAUUGUGGCCCAUUUCUACAUGGAUCCUGAGGUGCAAGGCAUACUAACUGCUGCAAAGAGGCAAUGGCCCCACAUUCACAUAUCCGACUCAUUGGUAAUGGCAGAUAGUGCUGUUCAGAUGGCUGAAUCAGGAUGCAAAUAUAUCGCUGUGCUAGGUGUUGACUUCAUGUCAGAAAAUGUCCGUGCAAUACUUGAUCAAGCAGGAUUUACUCAGGUUGGUGUUUAUAGAAUGUCCAGCGAGCAAAUUGGUUGUUCCUUGGCAGAUGCUGCUUCAAGUUCUGCUUAUACACAUUUUCUUAAGACGGCAUCAAGAUCUCCUCCUUCUUUACAUGUCAUUUAUAUCAAUACCUCACUGGAAACAAAAGCUCAUACUCAUGAACUUGUUCCUACGAUAACCUGUACCUCUUCCAAUGUUGUUGCAACUAUACUACAGGCAUUUGCCGAAAUACCAGAUCUUAAUGUCUGGUAUGGUCCUGAUUCCUAUAUGGGUGCGAACAUAGCAGACCUAUUUAAGAGAAUGACUAUCAUGUCAGAUGAAGAGAUUACAGAGAUACAUCCAGAUCACAACAGGAAAACUAUAAGUUCAUUAUUACAACGUCUUCAUUACUAUCAGAAUGGUAACUGUAUUGUGCAUGAUAUGUUUGGCCAUGAAGUUGUGGAGAAAAUAAAGGAGGAAUACUGUGAUGCAUUUCUAACUGCACACUUUGAAGUCCCAGGAGAAAUGUUCUCUUUGUCAAUGGAAGCAAAGACGAGGGGAAUGGGAGUAGUUGGAUCCACUCAGAAUAUCUUAGAUUUCAUUAAAUACCAUUUGAAGCAAGCUCUGGAUCGGAAUGUUGAUGAUCAUCUUCAGUUUGUAUUGGGAACAGAAUCAGGAAUGAUCACUUCGAUUGUUGCUGCUGUCCGGCAAUUAUUUGACUCCUAUGAAUCUUCCAAAGAAGGUGCUAGCAUUGAAGUAGAAAUUGUGUUCCCUGUUUCGUCAGACGCAAUUUCUAAGACAUCUAUUGAUGAUUCCCAUCAUUUCGGCUCUUCAGUAGCGAAUGAUUUAGAACAGAUUAAUAUUGUGCCUGGUGUGUUUUCUGGUGAAGGGUGCUCUAUCCAUGGUGGCUGUGCAUCAUGCCCUUACAUGAAGAUGAAUUCUCUUGAGUCGCUACUUAAAAUCUGCCAGCAGCUUCCUGGUGAAGACAACAGUUUAUCUGUUUAUCAGGCUAGUCGAUUGAAUGCUAAGACUUCCCUUGGGAAAUUGGUUGCGGAGGUUGGGUGUGAGCCAAUUUUGCAUAUGAGGCAUUUCCAGGCGACAAAGAGAUUACCAGACAAGCUCGUUCACCAGGUUAUCCAUGGUAACGGAGGGGAACCUUUAUGAUGGCCGUUCCUCAGAAUCUUCCCUGUCAACUUUAUUCAGGGUGCAGUAUCCGGCUUUGCACCAAGUGUUGUUAUCCCGUUACUGAUAAUUACCGGUGGAGUGACAUUCACAGAGUCUGCAAUGGGUAGGUAUAUUGGCUGACCAAUUGUUAUUCGUCUCAGCCAAAAUGUUUCUCGUGUAUGUUUGAUGUCAGAUAUAUAAAUGGGCGGCAUACGAGUAUACAAUAGCAUUGCUCAACAAUUUUUGUGCUCUGUAACGGGGAGGACCUAAAUCACCUGUGUUGCUGUGAUGUAUUUGAAGCUUUUAUCCUCGUGUUGUAAAAUGUCCUAACGAAAUCUCGCGUCGCGGCAUGCUGUGAAUCUGAGGGAUUACUGGCUGCAGCUAGUGUUAUGAGCGAGUGCCGUCUACAGGAAUUAUGGGCCCUGCGCAAAAAGCAAAAUGGGGCUGUAAAUUUUGAAAUUGAGUUGAUGCAUUUAGUCAUUCUCUAACGUUUUUCAGCAUUAGAAUCAUACUCUUUAUUUAUAGAAAGCAUAAUUUUUCUGUCUAUGAACCAAA